RNAcentral lists this ribosomal RNA (211 nucleotides) under uncultured fungus. RNAcentral's name for it is "partial small subunit ribosomal RNA". The stretch from base 53 to 211 matches the Rfam family "Eukaryotic small subunit ribosomal RNA", at positions 702 to 864 of the family's 1831-position model. Lineage: Eukaryota; Fungi. The record is from RNAcentral.
GGAGGGGUGCCGAAGUCCGCUCGAUAGCGUGUGCUGAGGCGCCCUUCCAUCCUUCUGUUAACGUUUCUUGGUAUUCAGUUACUGGUUUCGGGCUCAGAUAUUUUACCUUGAGAAAAUUAGAGUGUUCCAGGCAGGCUUGCGCCGGAAUACAUUAGCAUGGAAUAAUAGAAUAGGACUUUUGUCUCCUUUGUUGGUUUGAGGGACUGAAGUA